UGGUAGUAUAACAACUGAUUCUAAAGUCAGAAGAAUCUGUAGGUUUAAAAACUCUUUCAUAUAUUUUCCAGCUGUAAUUGCUUCUCCAAAUUCCGAAGCAAGGUAAACAAGUUUGGUUGACAGGAACAAAAGAACAUAAAGUAGAAUUGGAACAACAUCCAGGAUGUCCCAAUACUGUCUGGCUCCGCCCACUCCCUCAAACAGCUUGGUGUGUAGAAAGAACUUUCUUUGAUGCAACCUGGAGUUAUGUGAUAUGAUACAACUCAUAAAAUCCCUGUUCAUCAACAGCUCUUCAGAACUGAGCUACCAGCAGCCACACUAAUUGAGAGACUUUUGGAAUGUGGGUUGGUGAAGGAGGUGAAGCCAGAACAGGAAUGGUGAGUCUGUGUGUAGACAGCCGCCCACACUCUCAAGCCUCACCCACCCUGGGCCGCCUGCAUAGAUGUCAUGAGGACAAAGGCUCACCUACGAUCGAAAGCAAUUACAUCAGUUUCUGUGAAUUGUCUCUUUAAAAGUUCUCUCUGGAUUUAAAAUUCAAAACAAUUCUCAAUAAUUUCAUUAUAAAUUUGGGACAUAUAAUCUCACAUUGUUCCAAUAUAUUCAGUGACUGAAGUUCUGAUGGGACUAAAACCCUGUCACACCUUGACACUGGCUAUGGAAAGUAUUUCUUAACCUAUCAAGAAUACCAGCGAUCUGUUUUCACUCUACCCCAAAGCACUUAAAUCACGUUAGAACUCUAAAAUGUAAUAAGAACCACAUCAAUAUCUUGUAAUCUCUAAAUGUCAGAUUAAAAUAUGAGUGGAGAAUGGUGUAGUAAGUCAAUGGAAGCUUUUAGAGAACUGAUAUUUCCCCCUAGGUCCGUAUACAUGUUAGAGAU
Molecule: long non-coding RNA, 877 nt
Organism: Orcinus orca (killer whale)
Lineage: Eukaryota; Metazoa; Chordata; Mammalia; Artiodactyla; Delphinidae
Exons: 4
Source: RefSeq, a predicted model, not a curated record